This 253-nucleotide ribosomal RNA is filed under the name uncultured bacterium. Its description in RNAcentral is "partial 16S ribosomal RNA". It matches the Rfam family "Bacterial small subunit ribosomal RNA", at positions 524 to 776 of the family's 1533-position model. The record is from RNAcentral.
UACGGAGGGGGCUAGCGUUGUUCGGAAUUACUGGGCGUAAAGCGCGCGUAGGCGGACCUGCAAGUCGGGGGUGAAAGCCCGAGGCUCAACCUCGGAACUGCCUUCGAUACUGCGGGUCUCGAGUCCGGGAGAGGUGAGUGGAAUUCCUAGUGUAGAGGUGAAAUUCGUAGAUAUUAGGAAGAACACCUGUGGCGAAAGCGGCGCACUGGACCACAACUGACGCUGAGGCGCGAAAGCUAGGGGAGCAAACAGG